Molecule: ribosomal RNA, 494 nt
Filed under: uncultured bacterium
Lineage: Bacteria
Description: bacterial SSU rRNA
Rfam family: Bacterial small subunit ribosomal RNA
Source: RNAcentral
UGCCUUCGGGAACGCUGAGACAGGUGCUGCAUGGCUGUCGUCAGCUCGUGUUGUGAAAUGUUGGGUUAAGUCCCGCAACGAGCGCAACCCUUAUCCUUUGUUGCCAGCGAUUCGGUCGGGAACUCAAAGGAGACUGCCGGUGAUAAACCGGAGGAAGGUGGGGAUGACGUCAAGUCAUCAUGGCCCUUACGAGUAGGGCUACACACGUGCUACAAUGGCGCAUACAAAGAGAAGCGACCUCGCGAGAGCAAGCGGACCUCAUAAAGUGCGUCGUAGUCCGGAUCGGAGUCUGCAACUCGACUCCGUGAAGUCGGAAUCGCUAGUAAUCGUGGAUCAGAAUGCCACGGUGAAUACGUUCCCGGGCCUUGUACACACCGCCCGUCACACCAUGGGAGUGGGUUGCAAAAGAAGUAGGUAGCUUAACCUCCGGGAGGGCGCUUACCACUUUGUGAUUCAUGACUGGGGUGAAGUCGUAACAAGGUAGGCGUAGCGAG